GCCACAUGAUGAGUUGAGUAGCGUCAGCAGCCUUCGGGCCGUGGUGACCUGCUAUCUAUCACCCUUUUCUGAUGGCU
Small nucleolar RNA from Notolabrus celidotus (New Zealand spotty), 77 nucleotides. RefSeq annotates it as small nucleolar RNA SNORD83. NCBI's taxonomy places the organism in Eukaryota, Metazoa, Chordata, Actinopteri, Labriformes, Labridae. The transcript has a single exon. The record is from RefSeq and is a predicted model, not a curated record.